RNAcentral lists this ribosomal RNA (121 nucleotides) under Carassius auratus (goldfish). Lineage: Eukaryota; Metazoa; Chordata; Actinopteri; Cypriniformes; Cyprinidae. The record is from RNAcentral.
GCUUACGCCAUACCAACCUGGCUAUGCCCGAUCUCGUCUGAUCUCGGAAGCUAAGCAGGUUUGGGCCUGGUUAGUACUUGGAUGAGAGGACCGCCUGGGGAAAUACGGGUGCUGGUAAGCU